GCGGACGGCUCAGUAACACGUAGUCAACCUAACUCGUGGACGUGGAUAACCUCGGGAAACUGAGAAUAAACCACGAUAGAUCAUAAUGCCUGGAAUGGCUUAUGGUCCAAACAGUUUACUGCCAUGGGAUGGGACUGCGGCCUAUCAGCUUGUUGGUGAGGUAAUGGCCCACCAAGGCGAUUACAGGUACGGGCUCUGAGAGGAGAAGCCCGGAGAUGGGUACUGAGACACGGACCCAGGCCCUAUGGGGCGCAGCAGGCGAGAAACCUUAGCAAUGUGCGAAAGCACGACUGGGUCAGUCCGAGUGAUUCCUGAUAAAGGAGUCUUUUGCUUGUCCUAAAAGCACAGGUGAAUAAGGGGUGGGCAAGUCUGGUGUCAGCCGCCGCGGUAAUGCCAGCACCUCGAGUGGUCAGGACGUUUAUUGGGCCUAAAGCAUCCGUAGCCGGCUUUGCAAGUCUUCGGUUAAAUCCACCUGCUCAACAGAUGGGCCGCUGGAGAUACUACAGAGCUAGGGAGUGGGAGAGGCAGACGGUAUUCAGUGGGUAGGGGUAAAAUCCUCUGAUCCAUUGAGGACCACCAGUGGCGAAGGCGGUCUGCCAGAACACGUUCGACGGUGAGGGAUGAAAGCUGGGGGAGCAAACCGGAUUAGAUACCCGGGUAGUCCCAGCUGUAAACGAUGCAAACUCGGUGAUGCAUUGGCUUAUGGCCA
RNAcentral lists this ribosomal RNA (709 nucleotides) under uncultured archaeon. RNAcentral's name for it is "bacterial SSU rRNA". It matches the Rfam family "Archaeal small subunit ribosomal RNA", at positions 81 to 792 of the family's 1478-position model. The record is from RNAcentral.